This 31-nucleotide non-coding RNA is filed under the name Mus musculus (house mouse). Lineage: Eukaryota; Metazoa; Chordata; Mammalia; Rodentia; Muridae. The record is from RNAcentral.
UAGCAAUGAAGCCCUGUGCUCUCACAGAACU